UACGUAGGGAGCAAGCGUUGUCCGGAAUCAUUGGGCGUAAAGCGCGCGUAGGCGGCCCUGUAAGUCCGUUGUGAAAGUCAAAGGCUCAACCUUUGAAAGCCGAUGGAUACUGCAGGGCUAGAGUCCGGAAGAGGCGAGUGGAAUUCCUGGUGUAGCGGUGGAAUGCGCAGAUAUCGGGAAGAACACCCGUGGCGAAGGCGGUUCUCUGGGACGGUACUGACGCUGAGACGCGAAAGCGUGGGGAGCGAACAGG
Molecule: ribosomal RNA, 253 nt
Filed under: uncultured bacterium
Lineage: Bacteria
Description: partial 16S ribosomal RNA
Rfam family: Bacterial small subunit ribosomal RNA
Source: RNAcentral